UCAUAGUGGAUCCCAGUUGUGAAUAGUAUCAGCUGAUGCUAAUCUGCAAUCAAGACAUCUGAUGAGAAGUAGCAUUGCUGGUCUUGAAAAAGCAGACGUGUUCCUCUCGGUCGGUACCCAGCCAAGGGUGGAAGCUGCCACAUGGUAAAUGCCAGAAUCCGAAAGACAGUCUGUGCAACCCAAGCUAAGGUUGGGGUUAACUUGGGUUGCACAGACCCAAACUGAUUUCAACCAUGAUCACCAGCAUCUUGGCACAGACCCUCAAAACAGUUGUUGAAAUCGCUGAGGGUCCGCUACCCGUUUUCCUCUGCCCUAGUGAAUGCCAAAACCCUGUGAUCAUUGUUGGUGCAGGUCUUUUUGAGAGGAAGGACAUGGAUGCCAUUUUUUCUGCUAUUUCACCAUUGCAAAACGUGCCAACGUUGUCAGACCUGAUUGGAAUGGUUUCCAUGUAUUGCUUCUUAAUGCAAACACUCAUAAAUUACAUAUGACCAUGCAUGAUGCAAGCACUCAUAAAAUUACAAGAAAAAGGCCGUCUCGGGCAAUAAAGAUAACAAUAUAACUAUUCCAAUAAUGGAGAUUGACCCUUUCGUUUUGUUAUUGAUACAAAACCCAUUAUUUAACACGAGGGAGAUUCAUGAAGGAAGCAAGCAAUAAGCUCACCUUACAGCCCCGUAUACAAGGGCAAAUGAUGCAGAAAAUAACAGGACAGUACUACUCUAAUGGAAAGUACAUAUUAAGAAUCAUACCAAAACGCAUUUCAUUCCUAAUCUCACGGAAAGAUGCCAACAAUGGUAGCAAUGGCGUGUGUAGCCAGGUACUCAAGGCUUCCACAGGAGGGUGGUCUCUGCUAUCAUCGAAGUGACCACAUAUGGAUCCAUGUUAGACGCAGGCCUCCUGUCCUCAAAAUAGCCUUUGCCUGCCUUUUCUGUGUCCCUGCCAACUCGGAUGGAAGCCCCACGGUUGGCAACGCCCUAUA
Long non-coding RNA from Juglans microcarpa x Juglans regia, 976 nucleotides. RefSeq lists it as uncharacterized. Lineage: Eukaryota; Viridiplantae; Streptophyta; Magnoliopsida; Fagales; Juglandaceae. The transcript is spliced from 2 exons. The record is from RefSeq and is a predicted model, not a curated record.